This 450-nucleotide ribosomal RNA is filed under the name uncultured bacterium. RNAcentral's name for it is "bacterial SSU rRNA". It matches the Rfam family "Bacterial small subunit ribosomal RNA", at positions 354 to 796 of the family's 1533-position model. The record is from RNAcentral.
GUGGGGAAUAUUGGACAAUGGGCGCAAGCCUGAUCCAGCCAUACCGCGUGGGUGAAGAAGGCCUUCGGGUUGUAAAGCCCUUUUGUUGGGAAAGAAAUCCUGUCGGUUAAUACCUGGCGGGGAUGACGGUACCCAAAGAAUAAGCACCGGCUAACUUCGUGCCAGCAGCCGCGGUAAUACGAAGGGUGCAAGCGUUACUCGGAAUUACUGGGCGUAAAGCGUGCGUAGGUGGUGGUUUAAGUCCGUUGUGAAAGCCCUGGGCUCAACCUGGGAAUUGCAGUGGAUACUGGAUCACUAGAGUGUGGUAGAGGGAUGCGGAAUUUCUGGUGUAGCAGUGAAAUGCGUAGAGAUCAGAAGGAACAUCCGUGGCGAAGGCGGCAUCCUGGGCCAACACUGACACUGAGGCACGAAAGCGUGGGGAGCAAACAGGAUUAGAAACCCCAGUAGUCC